AUGGACGAGACUUGAGUCCACAGUGUAGGGACACUAAAGUGAUAGUGCAGGUGCUUGUUAGAGAACAAGGGUACUAAGCGUGACCAAGACAACAAGUCACUUGGAUGUCUAUCCACUCGUCAGUGACUUGCUUGAUGUUGCAGUAGUAUGACUGGUCCUUUGACCUGCGGUGCUUCAGCUACUCACAGUGAGGUUAUUGUAGUUUGACUACACGUAUACAUGGUCACUAGUCAUAUGGGUCCUUGUA
This 247-nucleotide long non-coding RNA is filed under the name Phoenix dactylifera (date palm). RNAcentral's name for it is "long non-coding RNA (PDAC_LNC019937)". Lineage: Eukaryota; Viridiplantae; Streptophyta; Magnoliopsida; Arecales; Arecaceae. The record is from RNAcentral.